GAAGUAAAAGUCGUAACAAGGUUUCCGUAGGUGAACCUGCGGAAGGAUCAUUAUCGAGUUUUGAAACGGGUUGUAGCUGGCCUUCCGAGGCAUGUGCACGCCCUGCUCAUCCGCUCUACACCUGUGCACUUACUGUGGGUUUCAGGAGCUUCGAAGCGGGAGUCGGUCUUUCAAGACUGGCUGUCGCCGAGGAGUGACUGGGCCUGCGUUUACUACAAACACUUAUAAAGUAACAGAAUGUGUAUCGCGAUGUAACGCAUCUAUAUACAACUUUCAGCAACGGAUCUCUUGGCUCUCGCAUCGAUGAAGAACGCAGCGAAAUGCGAUAAGUAAUGUGAAUUGCAGAAUUCAGUGAAUCAUCGAAUCUUUGAACGCACCUUGCGCUCCUUGGUAUUCCGAGGAGCAUGCCUGUUUGAGUGUCAUGAAAUUCUCAACCUAACGGGUUCUUAACGGGACUUGCUUAGGCUUGGACUUGGAGGCUCUUGUCGGCUCUUACUUGUAAAGGGUCGGCUCCUCUCAAAUGCAUUAGCUUGGUUCCUUGCGGAUCCGGCUCACGGUGUGAUAAUUGUCUACGCCGCGACCGUUGAAGCGUUUUUAGAGCCAGCUUCUAAUCGUCUCGCAAGAGACAACAUUCAUCGAACUCUGACCUCAAAUCAGGUAGGACUACCCGCUGA
RNAcentral lists this ribosomal RNA (674 nucleotides) under Lentinus badius. RNAcentral describes it as "eukaryotic LSU rRNA". The stretch from base 269 to 422 matches the Rfam family "5.8S ribosomal RNA". Lineage: Eukaryota; Fungi; Basidiomycota; Agaricomycetes; Polyporales; Polyporaceae. The record is from RNAcentral.